This 490-nucleotide ribosomal RNA is filed under the name uncultured bacterium. RNAcentral describes it as "partial 16S ribosomal RNA". It matches the Rfam family "Bacterial small subunit ribosomal RNA", at positions 28 to 507 of the family's 1533-position model. The record is from RNAcentral.
GAUGAACGCUAGCUAUAGGCUUAACACAUGCAAGUCGAGGGGCAGCGAAUAGAUAGCUUGCUAUUUAUGUCGGCGACCGGCGCGCGGGUGAGUAACGCGUAUCCAACCUGCCCAUAACUAAGGGAUAACCCAGCGAAAGUUGGACUAAUACCUUAUGUAUUCGUUUGAUCUCAUGAGAUUACGAAUAAAGAUUUAUCGGUUAUGGAUGGGGAUGCGUCUGAUUAGCUUGUUGGCGGGGUAACGGCCCACCAAGGCAACGAUCAGUAGGGGUUCUGAGAGGAAGGUCCCCCACAUUGGAACUGAGACACGGUCCAAACUCCUACGGGAGGCAGCAGUGAGGAAUAUUGGUCAAUGGACGCAAGUCUGAACCAGCCAAGUAGCGUGCAGGAUGACGGCCCUAUGGGUUGUAAACUGCUUUUAUAUGGGGAUAAAGUGGGGAACGUGUUCCCUUUUGCAGGUACCAUAUGAAUAAGGACCGGCUAAUUCCGUG